AUGUAUUCCAUCUCAGGAAAUCUCCUCUCCCCUGACCCAACUCCCUCCUCUGCCUCUGAUGUCGUAGGCCAUAUAAACGCCUCCUCUCAUAAAUAUUAUUUCAAAAUGGGAUUUAAUAACCAGCCCAUGACGCAUUCUCCCCUCUUGAGAUCCUUCAGGGGACAUCAGAAAACACCAUGGGGGGAAGAAGCACAGAAAAGCCAGAGAGUAAGCUCCAGAAAUAUCUUACAAACUAAGGACGUGUGGUUUGAGAUCCAUCCAGUUCAGAACAACACUCCUCAUCAGCAACUCUAAAGCCUCUAGCUGAAUCCAGAAUUAUUCAAGGUGAAGACAGGUAAGAUGUUUAGAAUUAGCUGCAGGUAACUAUGGAUUAAAUACAGACAUACUCAUAUAUCAUUUUCUCCCUCAGGGCUGAGGUGUGUGUACAUUUUCUACCUGCAGCUCAGGUAAGCUUCCUGAUUGACUAAUACUUGCUGGAAGUCUUGAGGGUUUUGCUAAUGAAAGCGGUAUUUCAUAUAUAUGCAUCAAAACUUUUCUCUUUAUGACAGGAUGACUGCUGCAGGUUAGUGGUUCUCCAGUAGGAUCCUUCAAUAUGUCAUGCAAGGAACCCCAAAUAGUAACCUUAAUAUAGUCAAAUCAAGUCUCCUCCAUUUUUUAUAUAACUUUAUACAAUAAUAUCGCUUCAAAGCAGCUUCACAAAAGUAACAGAAUUAAUCUUCAAAUGUUGAUUCAGUUCAGUUCAAUAACUGUUGUUGUUGCAAAUUGUGUCAAUUAUGAAUGAAUUUGAUUCAGCUAUAAAGCAGCUCCACAGUAGACAAUAGGGUUAAUAUUUAGUGAGAGUAGUGUCAGUGCAGUCAAAUCAAUAUUUAAUUUUAAUAUUAGGAUCUUUUAAACCUCAACUAGCAAGACAAAGGCAACAGUGGCAGGGAACCCAAAUUCAAUCUGGUUACAAAAAUGGAGAGAAAAAAUAUUAAAAGUUUCCCUAAAUCAGCAUCCAUAAAUUAAUCACAGGGUGUUAUUGCAUAGAUGUGAUUAUAGGAGAGUCUUAUCUGUUUGACUUGAGCUUUUAUAUGCAAUCAACUCAAAGUGCUGUAAAAGUGGUUCGUCCUAUUUUCCUCGAGGAGCAAAGUCCCAGAUCGUGAGUCAGACAGGAAAUUGUUUAUAUGCACUGAUAUUCGCUCUGAGCUCAGUCGUCCUCUAGCCGUCUCAUGCCUGUCUGUUGAUUUGUGAGAGCCAAGUCACAGUGCGAUGACUGUGUGGUGUUAGGUUUCUUUCCAGUCCCUGGAGUAUGCGAAAAAUGAAGCGCACAUGCAGCACAAGUCCAGAAGAACAUCCAAACAGCCUCAGAGUUGUAUAAACAUGAAACGCAGAAAAGAUGGAAGAAGUAUCUGAAUGAAGUCUGAAUGUGGAUUCAAAUAAACAUCUGUGGAGUGGUCCA
Molecule: long non-coding RNA, 1438 nt
Organism: Cyprinus carpio (common carp)
Lineage: Eukaryota; Metazoa; Chordata; Actinopteri; Cypriniformes; Cyprinidae
Source: Ensembl